Molecule: ribosomal RNA, 336 nt
Filed under: Triticum aestivum (bread wheat)
Lineage: Eukaryota; Viridiplantae; Streptophyta; Magnoliopsida; Poales; Poaceae
Description: partial small subunit ribosomal RNA
Source: RNAcentral
AUGCCCCAGAACAUUGGCGACCAAACAUCAUAUGCCCAAUUAGUUACGAGACUAACUCAUUGGGGUUUUGCUUGGAGCAUUCUUGAGAUGUUCAAUGGUGUUCAGACUUGGUGUGCCAAAUCACCAGAUGAGAUUUAUCAGUCAGUUGUCCUGAAGAAAGAGAAAACAAUGUUCCUGUACAAUUUACCUAUGGAGGUCGCUAAUGUCCUCUCUGGCUGCUAUGACUAUGACCUUCGGGAUCACUCCUUGAUGUUAGAUAUCUUACAGUCAUUUGAAAGCAUUAUUGAAGUUUGUCACAUGAAAGCAUGGAACGGCUUUCUUAGUUGUGUCGUUUAU